RNAcentral lists this unclassified non-coding RNA (38 nucleotides) under Sorangium cellulosum So ce56. RNAcentral's name for it is "sce_s2m_89". Lineage: Bacteria; Pseudomonadati; Myxococcota; Polyangiales; Polyangiaceae. The record is from RNAcentral.
CUGGCUCGGGGCCGAGGAGACGACCGCGUAGAAGCCUG